CAGCCGCGCGGGAAUACGUAGGGUGCAAGCGUUAAUCGGAAUUACUGGGCGUAAAGCGUGCGCAGGCGGUUAUAUAAGACAGAUGUGAAAUCCCCGGGCUCAACCUGGGAACUGCAUUUGUGACUGUAUAGCUAGAGUACGGCAGAGGGGGAUGGAAUUCCGCGUGUAGCAGUGAAAUGCGUAGAUAUGCGGAGGAACACCGAUGGCGAAGGCAAUCCCCUGGGCCUGUACUGACGCUCAUGCACGAAAGCGUGGGGAGCAAACAGGAUUAGAUACCCCCGUAGUCCCUGUCUCUUAUACC
Molecule: ribosomal RNA, 301 nt
Filed under: uncultured bacterium
Lineage: Bacteria
Description: partial 16S ribosomal RNA
Rfam family: Bacterial small subunit ribosomal RNA
Source: RNAcentral